ACUGGUGCGAUGAUGAUGAUUAUUUACUGUGGACUAGAGUUUCUGAUCUGGCUCUUCUUCUACCAGUAGCUGAAGACUAACCCUUGGCUGUCUGAGCACCAUC
Small nucleolar RNA from Dioscorea cayenensis subsp. rotundata (Guinea yam), 103 nucleotides. RefSeq annotates it as small nucleolar RNA Z157/R69/R10. The record is from RefSeq and is a predicted model, not a curated record. The transcript has a single exon. Lineage: Eukaryota; Viridiplantae; Streptophyta; Magnoliopsida; Dioscoreales; Dioscoreaceae.